This 432-nucleotide ribosomal RNA is filed under the name uncultured bacterium. Its description in RNAcentral is "partial 16S ribosomal RNA". It matches the Rfam family "Bacterial small subunit ribosomal RNA", at positions 29 to 507 of the family's 1533-position model. The record is from RNAcentral.
AACGAACGCUGGCGGCAUGCCUAACACAUGCAAGUCGAACGAGACCUUCGGGUCUAGUGGCGCACGGGUGCGUAACGCGUGGGAACCUGCCCUUAGGUUCGGAAUAACUCCCGAAAGGGGUGCUAAUAACGGAUAAUGUCUUCGGACCAAAGAUUUAUCGCCUUUGGAUGGGCCCGCGUUGGAUUAGCUAGUUGGUAGGGUAAAAGCCUACCAAGGCGACGAUCCAUAGCUGGUCUGAGAGGAUGAUCAGCCACACUGGGACUGAGACACGGCCCAGACUCCUACGGGAGGCAGCAGUGGGGAAUAUUGGACAAUGGGCGAAAGCCUGAUCCAGCAAUGCCGCGUGAGUGAUGAAGGCCUUAGGGUUGUAAAGCUCUUUUACCCGGGAUGAUAAUGACAGUACCGGGAGAAUAAGCUCCGGCUAACUCCGUG